Molecule: long non-coding RNA, 1681 nt
Filed under: Mus musculus (house mouse)
Lineage: Eukaryota; Metazoa; Chordata; Mammalia; Rodentia; Muridae
Description: long non-coding RNA chr2:28652936-28654617
Source: RNAcentral
GCGUGCGCUACCACUGCCUGUCUGUUCGUGGUCUUAAGUCAGCUUUUUUGAAUAAAUUAUUUCUUCUGUUGAUUUUUAAGAAUUAUGGUGUCAAAAAAAAAAAAAAAAGAAUUAUGGUGUCUCGAAGUUGAAGCUCUGACAGGUGUGCAGAUGUGAGUUUAGUUUUAGUGAUCUACCUGCCCUGGAGCACCAAUCUUUAGUUUGUUAGCAAAGGUGCUAUUCUAGUUGUUGUGAUAAAUCCCUGACAGAAUCAGCUGGAGGAAGAGGAAAGGUUGGUCACAGUUUGAGGCAGGGAAGUUAAAUGGUGGUAGGAACUUGAGGCAGCUGGUCACAUUGCAUCUACAAGUAAGAAACGGGGAGGUUAAUGCUAGUGCUCAGCUCAUUUGCUCAUUUUUAUCCAGUCUGGGGCCUCAGCCUACAGAGUGGCACCACCCACACUCAGUACAUUUUCUGGGUUCUGUUAAACUUACAGCAGCAUCCUCAUGUUGCUGCCCAGAAGUGUGUUUCCAUGGUGAUUCUCAAUCUCAUCAAGUUGACAAUGAAGUUUAGCCAUUGCAGGUAUCAGUUGUCUUGCUUGCGUGCUGCGCAGGAAUCUGGGAAGAUGGGCUGGCGCUUGUCUACCGUUUUCAUACUUACACAGUAGUAUGACUCAUUCCAUGGUCAGUGGUAGCUGCUAAGUCCACCCCCGCCUCACUGCUAACCGAGGAUCAGAAAGUAUAGUCAGACUUCAUCACGAGGACUUUGGUAGAUGGCACUCCACACUGAGAGUGGAUGUGCCAUUCUCUCAAGAGUGAGGACUCCUGAGGGAGACUCUUGGUUUUCAGUUCAACCAUGCUCUUCAUCCUGCCCCUUCUCACCUCACCAUGUAGUCCAGACUGACCUCCAUCCUCCUGUCUCAGCCAGCAGAGUCUGGGAUUAGUGUUUGCCACCACUCUGGGCUGCAAUGCCCUCUGUUUUAGUUAGGGUUUCCAUCGCUGUGAAGAGACACCACGACCAAGGCAACUCUUACAAGGACAACAUUGAAUUGGGGCUGGCUUACAGUUUCAGUGGUUCAGUCCAUUAUCAUCCAGGCGGGAGGCAUGGCAGUGUUCAGGCAGACAUGAUGCUGGAGGAGCCAAGAGUUCUGCAUAUUGAUCCAAAGGCAGCCAGGUGGAGGUUGAGCAUAGAGACCUCAAAGCCCAUCCCACAGUAACACACUUCCUCUAACAAGGGCACACGUCCUAUUAGUGUGACUUCCCAUGGACCAAAUGUAUUGAAACUACCAUAACUCCUUUUAGAACUUCACUGAGUAUGAACUCAGAGGGGUAAGCAUUUUUCAUUAUGACAAUUUCAUUAUUAUAGCAGUCAGAAUUAAAAAGUGUAAGAUAUUUGUGUAGCUGAGGUGCUUUUUGAACACAGAGUGCCAGUUUAUCUUGUGAUCACUGUCUGUUGUGCUUGUGGUGCCCCUUGAGCAGGGGCACUGGAUCCUGUCAUCAAGCCACAUUCAAGGAAGUUCCCAUUAGGUGGUUGUCCAGGGACUCACAACUUGGGAGGCCCCAGCCAGCCUGCAGUUUCACUCCCUAGCUGCUAGGGGGUGCUGGCCACCCGCAGUUCUUACUCCAGCAGUUUUUUGUUAGUAGGCUCAAAACUUAAGUGUGUUUUAUAAAGAGUCUGGGCAGUGUUGUGCAUGCCUUUAAUCCCA